Molecule: ribosomal RNA, 303 nt
Filed under: uncultured bacterium
Lineage: Bacteria
Description: partial 16S ribosomal RNA
Rfam family: Bacterial small subunit ribosomal RNA
Source: RNAcentral
AGCAGUAGCCGCGGUAAUACAGAGGGUGCAAGCGUUAAUCGGAAUUACUGGGCGUAAAGCGCGCGUAGGUGGUUUGUUAAGUUGAAUGUGAAAUCCCCGGGCUCAACCUGGGAACUGCAUCCAAAACUGGCAAGCUAGAGUAGGGCAGAGGGUGGUGGAAUUUCCUGUGUAGCGGUGAAAUGCGUAGAUAUAGGAAGGAACACCAGUGGCGAAGGCGACCACCUGGGCUCAUACUGACACUGAGGUGCGAAAGCGUGGGGAGCAAACAGGAUUAGAUACCCCAGUAGUCCCUGUCUCUUAUAA